AUGAAGGCAAAGUCGACUCGGGUCUCCGCCUUGACAUCAUCGUCGGCGGGCAUCGGGAGGGAGUCGACGGUCCAAGUGAUUGGGUUGAGAACGGCGAGCCCCUCAUCGAUCAUGUCCCAGAGCAGGACGUGGCCAUGGCGGCAGUCGGCGACGUUCCACCUCGGGGACGCGUCGUCCUCCGCGGGGAGGGAGGUGAGGAAGAAGUCGCCGCGGUGGAGGGCGACGGCGACGUCUGGGUCGGAGCGGCGCACGGGGAUGAAGGCGGGGAUGGAGAUGCCGUCGGUCUCGAGGAAGAUCCCGAUGAAGGGCGCCGGGUGGAGGGCGCGGAAGAGGCGGCGGAAGGGCCGGGAGGAGCGGACGGCGCGGAGCCAGGAGCGGCAGGUGAGCGCGGCGCGGACGAGGGCCGGCAGGUUGGGCAGGCGGAGGAAGAUCUCGCGGAGCUGGUCUUGGCCGAGCGAGGAUAUGGUGGUGGCGACAGCAGAGGUGGUUGCUGGUGUGGUGGUGGUGGUGCCAUCGGCGGCGGAGGUGGUUUUGGUCGUGGUGGUGGUGGUGGUUGUGAUGGCAGUGGUGCCACCGGCGGUGGAGGCCGUUUGGGUUGUGGUGGUGGUUCCGUCGGCGGUGGAAGUGGUGGUGGUCGUUGUGGUCGUGGACAGGAUCGACGGAUGUUUAGCUGGUGGCACGGCGGCCGCGGCCGCCGCCGCCGCCGCCGCCAGCAGCAGCCCACUGCCCAUUGCUGGAGUGAUGGAGAUACCGGAACCCUGGCUGCUUGGUUGGUUCUGCUGUAUAGUUGACGCAUGGCCCAAGCCCAUGAUACGAUUCAUGCUUUCAGCCCAUGUACGCAAGUGGUCUAAAUUAUGCCAUGCCGAGGAAAGCCCAUCAAGUUUUUUCUAA
RNAcentral lists this ribosomal RNA (891 nucleotides) under Triticum aestivum (bread wheat). Its description in RNAcentral is "partial small subunit ribosomal RNA". The record is from RNAcentral. Lineage: Eukaryota; Viridiplantae; Streptophyta; Magnoliopsida; Poales; Poaceae.